AGGACAUCCUAACGCAGGACACCCUCCCCUGAUCUCCUCCCCUGACCACUAUGAUUUUCUGUCCUUUUCCCCAACAUUGGCUGAGAGAGGAGGGGGGAGGCAAACUUUUAAGUGUGUUAGAAUUAACUUCCCUAAGCUGUUUCCUGGCUUAAUCCUUAAUCAUGUUCCUUCACUCCCCAAAUCGUCCUGGUGUGCACGAUGACCACCUGCAUCUGAGGCAUCUGGGAGUCUCUGAAAAGUGGCGUUGCCAGAAAGAUCUAGGCUCGUGUCCAGGAGCAUUGCCACCUGGACCUGAAGACGCCCCUUGGCGGAGCCUUCGUGGCAUGAGACGGGGUGUGAACCGCAAAAGGACUCGCUAAGGCACCUUCUCCAGUAACCUCGGGAUCCAGGUAGAUGGUAUCAUCAUCUUCCAGACUCCCAGACUUUGAACCCGGAAGCCCUGGAAAGCAUCCUGGCCCUUGGGCAUGCUGACAUUUAAUGCCACAGACGACUUUGGGCCAGCCGCGUAACAGGAUUUCACACCCCCAAAGUCUGCAUGGAAGCAUCUGUGCUUAGCAGUUUUCAGAGAAAGGACGGAGGCUGUGGAGUCUGACUCUGGGGCAGAGGACGGGGCUGGGGAGCGGCUGGUCUGAAAGUGGCCUUUGGUCUCCCAGGACUAGGUGUCGGGGACUCGAGCCCGCUCUGCCACCGGCCGCCUGCGAGCCCCUGGGCAAGGCACCUGACCCGGCCACCCUGGGCCACCGGGGCUCCUCGGCUGUCAGAGGGGUUAAAGGCACCAGCUCGCCGACCUUAGGCGGGAGCAGGUCAUGGCGGGGAGGGGCUUUCUUAUAGACCCUCAGGGUAUCUUCUGGGCUUAAG
Long non-coding RNA from Leptonychotes weddellii (Weddell seal), 858 nucleotides. RefSeq lists it as uncharacterized. NCBI's taxonomy places the organism in Eukaryota, Metazoa, Chordata, Mammalia, Carnivora, Phocidae. The record is from RefSeq and is a predicted model, not a curated record.